RNAcentral lists this ribosomal RNA (471 nucleotides) under Salmonella enterica subsp. enterica serovar Anatum. RNAcentral describes it as "partial 23S ribosomal RNA". It matches the Rfam family "Bacterial large subunit ribosomal RNA", at positions 1223 to 1693 of the family's 2925-position model. Lineage: Bacteria; Pseudomonadati; Pseudomonadota; Gammaproteobacteria; Enterobacterales; Enterobacteriaceae. The record is from RNAcentral.
GUUGGGUAGGGGAGCGUUCUGUAAGCCUGUGAAGGUGGCCUGUGAGGGUUGCUGGAGGUAUCAGAAGUGCGAAUGCUGACAUAAGUAACGAUAAAGCGGGUGAAAAGCCCGCUCGCCGGAAGACCAAGGGUUCCUGUCCAACGUUAAUCGGGGCAGGGUGAGUCGACCCCUAAGGCGAGGCCGAAAGGCGUAGUCGAUGGGAAACAGGUUAAUAUUCCUGUACUUGGUGUUACUGCGAAGGGGGGACGGAGAAGGCUAUGUUGGCCGGGCGACGGUUGUCCCGGUUUAAGCGUGUAGGUGUGUGUUCCAGGUAAAUCCGGUUCACUUUAACACUGAGGCGUGACGACGAGGCACUACGGUGCUGAAGCAACAAAUGCCCUGCUUCCAGGAAAAGCCUCUAAGCAUCAGGUAACACGAAAUCGUACCCCAAACCGACACAGGUGGUCAGGUAGAGAAUACCAAGGCGCUUGA